UUCAUUUUCUUUCUAUUGGACUUGGUACCACAUCGAGAAAGCUUGAGAAAUUCUCCCACUUUCCUUGUAUAAAUACACCAAGCUAGUUGGCUUUCCUAAUUAGGAAACUGAAGGCUUUUAAUUUGAAGGGUUAAUAGUACCGAGGUUCGAGAUCGAGAAAGAAUUUAAAUUUAGAAGCGAUUUAAGGAAAGAAUUUUGGAGAAGGAUGUUCUGGAAAGGAUAAGAAUGUGAUGAACUAAGGUUUUAGUGGCAACAAGAGGCUUGUAGAGGAAGAUGUUAAUAUAAUAUGCUUGUGUUUGUGUUUAAGUUAGGAGCUUAUGAUGUAAUCUUUAGUUACAAACUUGAAGACGUUGUAAGAACUUUAUAUUAUGAAGUGUUGUUAAGGUUGUGUAAGCA
Long non-coding RNA from Daucus carota subsp. sativus, 396 nucleotides. RefSeq lists it as uncharacterized. The record is from RefSeq and is a predicted model, not a curated record. The transcript is spliced from 3 exons. Lineage: Eukaryota; Viridiplantae; Streptophyta; Magnoliopsida; Apiales; Apiaceae.